Long non-coding RNA from Brassica oleracea var. oleracea, 1258 nucleotides. RefSeq lists it as uncharacterized. Lineage: Eukaryota; Viridiplantae; Streptophyta; Magnoliopsida; Brassicales; Brassicaceae. The transcript is spliced from 5 exons. The record is from RefSeq and is a predicted model, not a curated record.
UAGGGCUUCAUUGUUAUUGUUCUUCCAUCUUCAACUACGCCGUCUCCGCUUACUUUAUUAAUCUCAAUUUGCAAACCUAAUGAUUUCUCCUCUCAUCUCUUAACCUCUCCUGUUUUAGCGUAUUUCUAUGGUUCAACGCAUUUCUAUCGUUCCGGAAUCCACUGCUCUGUUUCGGCCGGCGAGACCACAAAACGAAGUGGAGGAUGUCCCUGACAUAUAUCAUGGGGCUCGAGAUAGAUUCAGUCGAGAACGCCUUAUCUUCAGAGCUGGCUCUCCGUUUCAGGCCUCCCGCCGCAGAAAAUGGCUAUCGACAGAGUCGACAUCGGAGAGAGGACUCGUCGCGUCUCAGAACCUAAGAAAAGGAGAGAAGCUUCUCUUCGUUCCUCCUUCUCUCGUCAUCAGGGCUGAUUCUGUGUGGACGAAUGGUGAGGCUCGUGAAGUGAUGAAACGUUAUGAUGUUCCGGACUGGCCUUUGCUAGCUACUUAUCUUAUAAGCGAAGGGAGUCUUUAGAAAGAUUCUAGAUGGUUUAAUUAUAUCUCUGCUCUUCUGAGACAACCUUACUCGCUUUUAUGCUGACAGAACUUGAUAUGUACUUGGAAGCUUCACAGAUUCGAGAACGGGCAACUGAAAGAAUCACUAAUGUUGUUGGAAUGUGAGAUAUUGUAUUCUCUUUCCUUCUCUCAACUGCGAUUUGAUGUGUAGAACUUUACUUUUCUUUACUUGAUGCACUCUCAGGCACUUGAUGUGUAGGAGACUGAUGGUUAUGCCCUGCAUCAGACACAACUGAAAAUUUGAAGUUGCAAGAUGCACAAAUAUGUACAAGAUUACGGACCAUCCUUUCCUGAUCAGAGCAAUCAUUGUUGAGUUAGUGAGACUAUACAAAGAGUCUGAUCUCGGGCCGGAAAAGCCUCUACACCGUCGGAUAGCUUCCUUUCACUUGGAAAGAGUUCGCUGUUAUGAUCUUUGAUGAAGACGACGGUAUCAUCAAUGGCCUUAGAAGGUAGAGAUCAUAUAAGGUGGCUAUCAAGUUCGUUGCACGGGCCAAUAUGCAUCACUUGGGCGAGUUUCUAGCUGGUAAACGCGCGGAUGGACCGCAAGAGGCGUUGCCAUUUAAGUUAUUGAUGUGUUUUUUUAUGAAGUUGUUCGGUUUUAAAAUGUAGCGUGCAAAAUCGUGGAGGGACAACGGUACACAAAAAGGUUGAACAAGAAGCAUGUUUAAUCGAAAACGGUAAUAAAUAAGAUGUGAGUUUAAACAAA